CGAAGCGAAAGGGCAACCAUCGGUUUAAAACUGAGGAACCUCCUGACUCCUCUAUCAGAUGUGGAAACUUUCCACCAUGCGAGAGUGUGGCUCAUGGAACAGAAACGACACGUCCUAUAUUCCGAGACAAUGAUGCGAUGAAGAUAAUGGUGACAUUAUUGAGAUAAUUUGCUGAGGAGAAUAUAGGGAACGAUGAAACGGCCAAGCAUCUUGGAGCAAGCUUAAAUAGGGCUCUUUGAGCCGGGUAAAGUGCUUAGACGAAUGUUGCCAGGAAGGUCCUUGACGGCUUCCAAACAGAAUCAGGGGUAUUUUCGCAUCG
RNAcentral lists this RNase P RNA (319 nucleotides) under Promethearchaeati archaeon. RNAcentral describes it as "Asgard group archaeon (marine sediment metagenome) RNase P RNA component". It matches the Rfam family "Archaeal RNase P". From Rfam's summary of the family: Ribonuclease P (RNase P) is a ubiquitous endoribonuclease, found in archaea, bacteria and eukarya as well as chloroplasts and mitochondria. Lineage: Archaea; Promethearchaeati. The record is from RNAcentral.